Molecule: non-coding RNA, 2120 nt
Organism: Vicugna pacos (alpaca)
Lineage: Eukaryota; Metazoa; Chordata; Mammalia; Artiodactyla; Camelidae
Source: RefSeq, a predicted model, not a curated record
AAGACUAAGUAAUUUGCCCAAGGUUAUGCAGCUAAAAAGGGGACAAAUGAGGACCGGACAACAAGUCUCCUCUAGCGGAGCCCAAGGUCUCUGUUCCUUCCAAAAGCAAGGAGGAAAAAUAAGAUUCCAUAGUAAAUCUCAUGCCACAUCAUAAAUUCAGACAGAAGUUGGUUUUGGGCACAGACAGCAGAGAUCCCUGAAUGACCGUAUUCCAGGAGGUUGGGUUGGGGCAGGGAGUGCAUUAUUCUUGGGCCAGGCCAGGAGCAUACGCACACACAGACACACAGACACACACAUGCAUGUGCUCUUCCCCAUUGGAGCACCUUCUAGAAUGGCAAGAAACUUAUCUCGCCCAAUUACCUUGCCACCACCUUGAGCCACGAUGGUGCCUCGGUCCUUUGGGUUGUCACACAGUGCCAGGAAUACCCUGGAGGACAAGGAUAAAGGACAUUCAGUGCACGAGCCAACAGAUUAGACCCAGUGAAACCUUGGGAAGUGCCACCCCUGUGCGCUUGCCCCAAAACUAACCUUAGGAAGAUACUGCCAUGGACAUAAGUGGCUGGGGAGGACAUGAGGCCAGAUGCAGCUGCAAAGAGCUGCCCUAUUUCUGUUCAGGCUCAUAACAAAUGGCUUCCUGCUACCCGCCACCCAGGAGAAACUUCAACAUGGAGGCACCUCAGGACUUCUGUGCUCUGGCCCUUGCCUCCCUCUCUGUCUCAUCUAGCACCCCUCUCUCCCCAGGACUUCGUGCUCCAGGCAUAUUCCAGGAGAAUCCUGUCCUCAAUCGCUCAUUCUCCCUCCAUCCUCAGUGUCUUUGCAUACGCUGUUCUCUCUGCCUGGAACCCUUCCCUCCACUGCAUUUGAGGGGCUCCUUUUUGUUCAUCAGGGUUCCCCUGAGUUGUCACAUCUUCCAGGAGGCGUUCCAGACUGCCCACCCACCUACCCUCCAGUCUGGCCAGUUGGGUACCACGGCUUGUGCUCCAACCAGCCCUCUAUAUGUCCCUCCUCGUGGCACCCACUACACUUUAUUGUAACUGUGAGCCUGUCUGCCUCCACAUCGGGCUGCACAUCAGUGCCUUUCAUCUCGGGAACUGCAGGGCCUGGGAACCAGGCCAGCGCCGAGAUGACACCAGCCUUCAAAAGCCGCUUAACCCGCAUGUCUACAAAGUCCUUCUUGUCCUGGGGAGAUGAAAUGAUGGUAAGGAAAUCCAUCUCAAAGACUCUUCAUUCACAGAGGAGUGAAAUAGAAGGAGCAUCCAAAACACUAGAUCACUAGAUGACCCAUACGUGACUUAUCUUGCAGAAGGCUGGCUUUCCAUCAGGGUGAGCAUGCAGAGGGGAGAGAGGGGAGGUGGGCAGGAGUGAGAGGGGAGAGAGAGCGGACAGAGCUGACAUAACAAUGGAUUGGGUUUUGCUGGAAACCCAGAGUCUGCCCUGGAGUUAAAUAUUCCAUAUAGAUAAUCCUUAGAGUAGCUGGAGAGCUCAUGGGAAAUCUCUAGAAGCCAAGUUUGAACUUCACGGCAGCAGAACAUGCUAUACACACUCGCUUGCAUGAAAAACCAUGCAGCUUUAUAAACUGAUUUAGAGAAUGUUAUAGCAAGGGGGAAAACCCCUGGAGUAUUUUUCCCAAAUUGGGUACAAAAUGAUGACCACAUUCUGAUUAUAACUAUUAAAAGGAAAAAAUGCACAGAACAAAAGAGCUUCUGGUGGGUGAUAAACAAAAAGGCCGACAGUGGUCAGUGGGGAGAGGAUGUAAUUGCAGGCAGCCAUGUUCUUUCCCUAACUGUCCCCCUUUUUGUUUGUUUUGCAUCAUGAUUAUAUGAUUUUGAUCAUUUAAAAAAAACUAACUGCUUUACUGGCUAGAAGUGUGAUGCACAUAUAUUCACAUGCAAACCACACACAAAAUACAACUUUGUGUGCAGGGAAUCAUUGUGGGGAGGGCCGCAAGGGGAUUUGUGACAUCUGGGCUGCUGCUUAACCACAUCCUUCCUCUUCUCAUCAUUCGUACGCAGAUCCCCAAACCCGGAUAUCCCAGAAAAUGAAGUUUUUAUAAAUGUGGAAAACGUGAAAUACAACUGUCUGAUGUCCAUGAAAUCAACACGUAAAUUGCAAAACGUUCA